Molecule: ribosomal RNA, 585 nt
Filed under: Triticum aestivum (bread wheat)
Lineage: Eukaryota; Viridiplantae; Streptophyta; Magnoliopsida; Poales; Poaceae
Description: partial small subunit ribosomal RNA
Source: RNAcentral
AUGGCGGCGGCGGCGGUGGAGGUGAGCAACAGGAGCGUGAUCCAGAAGCGGCACGUGACGGGGUUCCCCACCGAGGACGACAUGGAGCUCGUCACGGCGACGGCGCGCGUGGCCGUGCCGCCAGGGUCGGCGGCGGUGAUGGUGAAGAAUCUCUACCUCUCCUGCGAUCCCUACAUGCGCAGCCGGAUGACCAACCACAAGGAGCCCAGCUACGUCCCGGACUACGUCCCAGGGGAGAUUAUACCGACUUUCGGUGUCAGCAAGGUGGUAGAAUCCGGGCACCCGGAUUACAAGGCCGGUGAUCUGGUGUGGGGAAUGACAGCAUGUGAAGAAUACACCUUGAUCACUACUCCGGAUUCGCUUUUCAAGAUCAACCAUCCCGAAUUACCGCUGUCGUACUACUUAGGUGUUCUCGGCAUGCCAGGCCUUACUGCAUAUGCUGGAUUUUUCGAUGUGUCCAAGCCAAAAAAGGGCGACUAUCUGUUUAUCUCGGCAGCAUCAGGCGCCGUCGGACAACUUGUCGGGCAGCUUGCCAAGAUCACAGGUUGCUAUGUAGUUGGCAGUGCCGGUUCUGAUGAGAAGGUA